Molecule: long non-coding RNA, 778 nt
Filed under: Olea europaea (common olive)
Lineage: Eukaryota; Viridiplantae; Streptophyta; Magnoliopsida; Lamiales; Oleaceae
Description: long non-coding RNA (OEUR_LNC007255)
Source: RNAcentral
UCAGGUCGGUUUAGUCUGGUGUUCCAUCUGUAUGUAAUGGUGAUUUAACAGUGCUAAUCUUGAUUUUGUGCGUUUGGAUCUCUGACUUGGGAAUUAUUUUUCUUAAGCGAGGAAGGAAGACGCAAUCUGUGUGGAAACAUUUGUAUAUCGUGGAUUGCAACUACUCACCAGGUACAGGUUCAUCAAUCGAACUUGUGCAAUUUAAUAUUGAAUAGUUGAAUGCAAUAGAAUUGAUCUUUUACACCAAGCUGUGCAGUUUUUUUAAUAAACAAUUUCUUUAUUAAAUAGUAGCCGAAGGAUUUAGGGGUAAAGUAAUCCUCAUCUGGUGCUAUUGAAUGAAAUUAUCAGUAAUGGGCAAUCAAUUUCCCGGACGAGACUUCAUUUUUUCUGACUUUGUUUAAUUUUAUUUUGCAUCUGUGUAGUAAUUAACGAAAUUUGAAGUUAGGCAUUAACGAAAUUUGAAGUUAGGCUAAAAGGAUCGAUAAUUUACAUAUAUGCAUGUGUUCAUUAAACAAUGUAAACAAAGGAUUGGUACCGGUGUAAGUGCACAAGUACAUGGAUUUACAACAAGGCAGAGAUUUGAACAAGAUGAUACCUAAAUUAUAAACAGGAAUUACUAAGAGAAUCAUUGGUAAUGGCUUUUGAAAUGAUUGGUACAAAUUUGAGAUGAUUCGUUUUUUAAUUCUCUUAAACCUUUUCUUGCUGGGAUCAGAUCAGAAUGAUGGGACGAUUCCAUAGCCACCUUCUUCUAUUAGCGUUGAUGAGAACAUCUGGUUGG